RNAcentral lists this unclassified non-coding RNA (240 nucleotides) under soil metagenome. RNAcentral describes it as "partial contains 5.8S ribosomal RNA, internal transcribed spacer 2, and large subunit ribosomal RNA". The record is from RNAcentral.
AACCAUUCUCACCUGCGGCUAGACCUGCGGAAGGAUCAUUACACAAUAACAUAUGAAGGCUGUACGCGGCUGCGCCCUCGGGCCAGUUGGCUGAGGCUGGAGUAUUUAUUACCCUUGUCUUUUGCGCACUUGUUGUUUCCUGGGCGGGUUCGCCCGCCACCAGGACCACAUGAUAAACCUUUUUUUAUGCAGUUGCAAUCAGCGUCAGUACAACAAAUGUAAAUCAUUUACAACUUUUAA